Molecule: long non-coding RNA, 2222 nt
Organism: Felis catus (domestic cat)
Lineage: Eukaryota; Metazoa; Chordata; Mammalia; Carnivora; Felidae
Exons: 3
Source: RefSeq, a predicted model, not a curated record
AAAAAAAAAAAUGUGCCAAUCGGACUGAGCCCAUAGAAUCCGCAUGGGGGGGGGGGGGGAGGUGAGCAACAGGAAAGUACAUUUGUCACAACCACCUCUGGUGAUCUGGCUCAAAGUGAAGUUUGAGGACCUCUUUCUGGCCCCUUGACUCGAUUUCUUUUUACCUCCCAAACCCUCCCUUCGAUCCGGAACACCUUUCCACAUCCGACCCUUUACUGCUCAGAAGUUUUCCACGGAAGCCCUUUCGGGCUGAAUAAAGCCGAACUCGGCCGGACUUAGAGGGCACACCCCAUGCUGCCCUCCUUCCCAUAUUCCCAUCUUAUUUCCCACGUCUGUCUCCAGCCGUAUUCCGUGAUGGCUGCCCUUGGCUUUCACACCGCCAAGCCUUUUCUUACAAUGGUGCCUUCUCCUGGGUUGCCGUUCCAAUCUCCUCCUGACUCAGUUAUCUUACACUCAGAAGAGGAGAAAUAUUGUCUGACUAGGCUGUACCAUUUUUGGUGGCCUUUGAAAUUCUGGUAAAAUGACCUUCUUGAGUGGCAGGCAGCCAGACUCUUGUUAAUCCCCUGGGCUGGUUCUGAAAUCCAACUUCCUCCCCUAGUUGAAAACACUCUUCAGCCACUUCCUUUGGUCCAGGCCGAAUACCCUUAGGAAUGCUGUCAUGUCCUUAAUAUUAGUCUCACUCAAUAUAAAGAGGAAGGCAAGCAGGAAAUCCUUUCCUCUGGCCACAGGUGGUCUCCCUUGGCACCUCUCUGGCCCAAUCCCUCCCAACCUUGUUUGCAGGUUCAUCAUCCUCUCCCAAACUUCUUUUCCUGGAGUCACCCUCCUUGGCGAGCUCCUUCCUUCCCCCAGGCUUCACCCAGGGCUCCCAUGUGUUGCUCCAGCUCAGACCGCUUCACUGAGCUUCAGUUGCUUAUGUACAAGUGUCAGCUUCGCACUGGAUGCCUCAGACACGCCAUCAGUUAGAAUCCUUAUGGUGGCAUAUGCCGGAAAAAUCAGGUCAAACUGGCUUAUAUAGCAAGGGGAUUCAUCUCACAAGGUAGGGCAGGCUCCGGGGGUGGCACCCUGGGCUUCAGACAUUGCUUCCCAACAGUCCCUGGAAUUGUACUUUCAGGCUGGAAGCAAGAUGGCUGCUGCCAUCCCAGGCACACCCAAAUGUUACAGUGUCCAGAAAAAUAAAGAGGAUCCUUUUCUUCCAAUGGUCUUUUCCAAAGAGCAAGAAUAUCUUUCCCAGAAGCCCUUCAGAAGCAAUGCCCGAGUUCCAGUGACCAGAAAUGAGUCACUGGGACUCUGUCCACAUCGAAACCAAUCAAGGGCAAGUGGAAGGAGUCUGCCAUGAUGGGCUAGGGCCAAUCAAGAUUUACCCUGUAUCCCUCCCUAGAGGGAGGAUACUGACAUAAUCAGAUUUGUAUUUUGAAAAGGCCACCAGAGUAGGAGAGCAUUUGGGAAACGAUUGCAGUCACUGAGCCAGAGAUGGCUGCAUGAAUGUAAUGGUGGGGAUCGAGAAGUGAAUGCAUUGCAGAGAUAUUUAGAAGGUGGAUUGGACAGGACUUGGCCAUGGAUAGGACCUGGGGAGUAGGAGUACAAAGACAAAAGGGUGUUAUGGAUGCCACCUAGACUUUUGGCCCGAGCUACUGGAUAGAUGGGCUUCAAUUUUUGUUGAGGAGUCCAACCCUUCAGUGGUUUCCCACAGCUCUUAGGACAAAGACCAAUGGUGUGGCGGGAAAACACCUACCUGUCCAGCCGCAUUUGCCCCAGACUGCAGUCACUUGCAUUCCUCUGAGAUCUCAGCUGAAACACCACUUCCUCAGAGCGAUGUUCCAUUGCUUUGGGAGAGGACUUAUUAGUGUCUUUGUCCCACGCUAUACGUAAGUGCCAUGAGGCAGGGACCAUGUGUUUCUCUCUUCAUGGUCUCCCCGACAGCCAGUCCAAUGCCUGGAUGUAGUAGGUAUGCGCCAUGUAUUUGACAAAUGAAGGACGGAAGCAGCUAAAAUAAAUUAAAAACACCUACCAACCUGUACGCCCCCAGCUCUGCAGUAAGAAAGUAGUUCAUUAUGAAAACAAAGAUGAUGGGCUCCAAGGGAAAUGAGGCAGCCUCAAGGCAUUUUAAGAUGAAAAUAGAUGCUCUUCAACGUGAUGUUGGGAAAACUGGACAGCAGUAUGCAAAAGAAUGAAAAUGCUCUACUUUCUUUCACCGUACACAAAAAUAAACUCAAAAUGGAUUA